Molecule: ribosomal RNA, 641 nt
Filed under: uncultured bacterium
Lineage: Bacteria
Description: bacterial SSU rRNA
Rfam family: Bacterial small subunit ribosomal RNA
Source: RNAcentral
UGCAAGUCGGACGGCAGCAGGUCCUUCGGGAUGCUGGCGAGUGGCGGACGGGUGAGUAAUGCGUAGGAACCUAUCCUUUUGUGGGGGACAACCCAGGGAAACUUGGGCUAAUACCGCAUAAGCCCUGAGGGGGAAAGCGGGGGAUCUUCGGACCUCGUGCUGAAGGAGGGGCCUACGUCCGAUUAGCUAGUUGGUGGGGUAAAGGCCUACCAAGGCGACGAUCGGUAGCUGGUCUGAGAGGACGACCAGCCACACUGGGACUGAGACACGGCCCAGACUCCUACGGGAGGCAGCAGUGGGGAAUUUUUCGCAAUGGGGGCAACCCUGACGAAGCAAUGCCGCGUGGAUGAAGAAGGCCUUCGGGUUGUAAAGUCCUUUCGUGGGGGACGAAAAGGCGGAUCCGAAUACGGUCUGCUGUUGACGUGAACCCAAGAAGAAGCACCGGCUAACUCCGUGCCAGCAGCCGCGGUAAUACGGAGGGUGCGAGCGUUAAUCGGAAUUACUGGGCGUAAAGGGCGCGUAGGCGGUGGGUUACGUCUGCCGUGAAAUCCCCGGGCUUAACCUGGGAAUGGCGGUGGAAACGGGCUGACUGGAGUAUGGGAGAGGGUGAUGGAAUUCCAGGUGUAGCGGUGAAAUGCGUA